This is an RNA transcript of Symsagittifera roscoffensis, 1037 nucleotides long. It is a transcript of the gene named adhesion G protein-coupled receptor L4-like, with no coding region annotated. Lineage: Eukaryota; Metazoa; Xenacoelomorpha; Acoela; Convolutidae. The transcript has 4 exons. The record is from RefSeq and is a predicted model, not a curated record.
AAGAGCACUUAUUUUCAAGAGUUCAAAAUUAAUUUUAUCGAGGUCUGUUCAAAAUGAAUUUUUCGAGUAGUUUGUCCCAAAAGCAUCCGAGUUGAAUCUUGAAUGCAAAAUCAUGAAACAGAUGGUAAUUCUGAUAGCGUUUUUUUGUUUAUUUGCCUUGGUUUUAGGCUCAAAUACAGAAUACUGCAGUGAAAAAAGUAAUUUACAAGACUGCGCUUUUACUGUUCCAAAAGUACCAAUCGCAAAUUCAGUGUCCGUGAUCAAAUUGGGAUUAACACGAGAUACAUGUUUGGAUCACAUGAAUAGGUUCGGUUGGCAUGUGGGAAUAUUUUGCCCCGAGAGCUUGUUUUGUGGGUUUGGGAUUGGCAGUGUGGGGAAUUUCGAGGCUUCAGGCGAGGCUGCCCCCCUGAGAGAUCUGUGUCACGUGAUCGUGGAUCUCAAACAAAGCCAAUGUGACGUCACUAGAGAGUGGAUGUAUGACGUUGGAUUCAUUCAAAAGUCUCCAUGGACUUGUCUUUCACAUGGGAUCGAAUUGUGCAGCGAUCAGUUCAUGACCAAAUGUGUAGACGUGGAGGGAGGGUUUGUGUGUGAAGGGUGUAUUCAAGGUGCACAGCCAAAAACUCCAGAAGACGAGAGUGCAUGUGUAGAUAUUGACGAGUGCUCGGAGACUCCUGGCAUCUGCGGGACACCCGGAACCUGUUCAAAUCAUCGACUGGGAUACGAGUGCGUCUGUGAGGAAGGCUAUCAGUAUGAUCCUACAGUUUACGGGUCAGGGUGCAUUGAUAUUGACGAGUGUGCCACAGACAUCUGUGCGAGGUCCCGGUCAGUUUGCACCAACACUAUCGGGAGAUACUAUUGCGACUGUCCUCAGGGCUGGUAUUUCGACGAAGCUGUCUACAAUUCAGGCUGCCAAGGUCAUGUAAUUGCACUCCUAAUGAAAAUUGCCUAUCUGCAAAAAAAUACCUGGGAGUAUUGUUUUGCAUGCGGGUUGAGAAAUUAAACGAUAAGCAAAUUAGACGGAGGUACUUAAAAAGAAU